CCUACGGGAGGCAGCAGUGGGGAAUAUUGCACAAUGGGGGAAACCCUGAUGCAGCGAUGCCGCGUGAGUGAAGAAGUUAUUCGUUAUGUAAAGCUCUAUCAGCAGGGAAGAAAAUGACGGUACCUGAAUACGAAGCCCCGGCUAACUACGUGACAGCAGCCGCGGUAAUACGUAGGGGGCAAGCGGUAUCCGGAUUUACUGGGUGUAAAGGGAGCGUAGACGGCAGUGCAAGUCUGGAGUGAAAGGGGGGGGCUCAACCCCCAGACUGCUAUGGAAACUAUACGGCUGGAGUGCAGGAGAGGUAAGUGGAAUUCCUAGUGUAGCGGUGAAAUGCGUAGAUAUUAGGAGGAACACCAGUGGCGAAGGCGGCUUACUGGACUGUAACUGACGUUGAGGCUCGAAAGCGUGGGGAGCAAACAGGAUUAAAUACCCCAGUAGUC
RNAcentral lists this ribosomal RNA (440 nucleotides) under uncultured bacterium. RNAcentral's name for it is "partial 16S ribosomal RNA". It matches the Rfam family "Bacterial small subunit ribosomal RNA", at positions 338 to 795 of the family's 1533-position model. The record is from RNAcentral.